RNAcentral lists this transfer RNA (71 nucleotides) under Diodora graeca. RNAcentral describes it as "tRNA-Tyr". The record is from RNAcentral. Lineage: Eukaryota; Metazoa; Mollusca; Gastropoda; Lepetellida; Fissurellidae.
UGCGGGAUGGCUGAGACUUAGGCGGAGGAUUGUAGCUCCUUUUAGGGAAGAGAGGAAUCUUUCUCCUGUAA